RNAcentral lists this ribosomal RNA (808 nucleotides) under Tetraploa thailandica. RNAcentral's name for it is "Tetraploa sp. DB-2021a partial large subunit ribosomal RNA". It matches the Rfam family "Eukaryotic large subunit ribosomal RNA", at positions 87 to 909 of the family's 3401-position model. The record is from RNAcentral. Lineage: Eukaryota; Fungi; Ascomycota; Dothideomycetes; Pleosporales; Tetraplosphaeriaceae.
CGGCGAGUGAAGCGGCAACAGCUCAAAUUUGAAAUCUGGCCCCCCCUCGGAGGCCCGAGUUGUAAUUUGCAGAGGGCGCUUUGGCGUGGGCGCCGGCCUAAGUUCCUUGGAACAGGACGUCAUAGAGGGUGAGAACCCCGUACGUGGCAGGCCGCCCGCGCCGUGUAAAGCCCCUUCGACGAGUCGAGUUGUUUGGGAAUGCAGCUCUAAAUGGGAGGUAAAUUCCUUCUAAAGCUAAAUACCGGCCAGAGACCGAUAGCGCACAAGUAGAGUGAUCGAAAGAUGAAAAGCACUUUGGAAAGAGAGUCAAAAAGCACGUGAAAUUGUUGAAAGGGAAGCGCUUGCAGCCAGACUUGCCUGUAGUUGCUCAUCCGGGCCCCCGCCCGGUGCACUCUUCUGCGGGCAGGCCAGCAUCAGUCUGGGCGGCCGGAUAAAGGCCCCGGGAACGUAGCUCCCUCCGGGGAGUGUUAUAGCCCGGGGCGCAAUGCGGCCAGCCCGGACUGAGGUCCGCGCAUCUGCCAGGAUGCUGGCGUAAUGGCUGUAAGCGGCCCGUCUUGAAACACGGACCAAGGAGUCUAACAUCUAUGCGAGUGUUUGGGUGUCAAGCCCGGGCGCGCAAUGAAAGUGAACGGAGGUGGGAACCCCCCCGGGGUGCACCAUCGACCGAUCCUGAUGUCUUCGGAUGGAUUUGAGUAAGAGCAUAGCUGUUGGGACCCGAAAGAUGGUGAACUAUGCCUGAAUAGGGUGAAGCCAGAGGAAACUCUGGUGGAGGCUCGCAGCGGUUCUGACGUGCAAAUCGAUCGUCAAA